ACGUAGGGUGCGAGCGUUAAUCGGAAUUACUGGGCGUAAAGCGUGCGCAGGCGGUGUUGUAAGACAGAUGUGAAAUCCCCGGGCUCAACCUGGGAACUGCGUUUGGGACUGCAAGACUGGAGUGUGGCAGAGGGAGGUAGAAUUCCUCGUGUAGCAGUGAAAUGCGUAGAUAUGAGGAGGAACACCGAUGGCGAAGGCAGCUUCCUGGGUUAGUACUGACGCUCAUGCACGAAAGCGUGGGGAGCAAACAG
RNAcentral lists this ribosomal RNA (251 nucleotides) under uncultured prokaryote. RNAcentral's name for it is "partial 16S ribosomal RNA". It matches the Rfam family "Bacterial small subunit ribosomal RNA", at positions 525 to 775 of the family's 1533-position model. The record is from RNAcentral.